UACGUAGGGGGCAAGCGUUGUCCGGAUUUAUUGGGCGUAAAGAGCGUGUAGGCGGCCUGAAAGGUCAGCUGUGAAAACUCGAGGCUCAACCUCGAGACGUCGGUUGAAACCAUUCUGGCUAGAGUCCGGUAGGGGAGACUGGAAGUUCCUGGUGUAGCGGUGAAAUGCGCAGAUAUCAGGAGGAACACCGAUGGCGAAGGCAGGUCACUGGGCCGCAACUGACGCUGAGGAGCGAAAGCAUGGGGAGCGAACAGG
Molecule: ribosomal RNA, 255 nt
Filed under: uncultured bacterium
Lineage: Bacteria
Description: partial 16S ribosomal RNA
Rfam family: Bacterial small subunit ribosomal RNA
Source: RNAcentral